This 336-nucleotide ribosomal RNA is filed under the name Vibrio parahaemolyticus. RNAcentral describes it as "bacterial SSU rRNA". It matches the Rfam family "Bacterial small subunit ribosomal RNA", at positions 1 to 323 of the family's 1533-position model. Lineage: Bacteria; Pseudomonadati; Pseudomonadota; Gammaproteobacteria; Vibrionales; Vibrionaceae. The record is from RNAcentral.
AAAUUGAAGAGUUUGAUCAUGGCUCAGAUUGAACGCUGGCGGCAGGCCUAACACAUGCAAGUCGAGCGGAAACGAGUUAUCAGAACCUUCGGGGAACGAUAACGGCGUCGAGCGGCGGACGGGUGAGUAAUGCCUAGGAAAUUGCCCUGAUGUGGGGGAUAACCAUUGGAAACGAUGGCUAAUACCGCAUGAUGCCUACGGGCCAAAGAGGGGGACCUUCGGGCCUCUCGCGUCAGGAUAUGCCUAGGUGGGAUUAGCUAGUUGGUGAGGUAAGGGCUCACCAAGGCGACGAUCCCUAGCUGGUCUGAGAGGAUGAUCAGCCACACUGGAACUGAG